Molecule: ribosomal RNA, 465 nt
Filed under: uncultured Klebsiella sp.
Lineage: Bacteria; Pseudomonadati; Pseudomonadota; Gammaproteobacteria; Enterobacterales; Enterobacteriaceae
Description: bacterial SSU rRNA
Rfam family: Bacterial small subunit ribosomal RNA
Source: RNAcentral
CCUACGGGUGGCAGCAGUGGGGAAUAUUGCACAAUGGGCGCAAGCCUGAUGCAGCCAUGCCGCGUGUGUGAAGAAGGCCUUCGGGUUGUAAAGCACUUUCAGCGGGGAGGAAGGCGUUAAGGUUAAUAACCUUGGCGAUUGACGUUACCCGCAGAAGAAGCACCGGCUAACUCCGUGCCAGCAGCCGCGGUAAUACGGAGGGUGCAAGCGUUAAUCGGAAUUACUGGGCGUAAAGCGCACGCAGGCGGUCUGUCAAGUCGGAUGUGAAAUCCCCGGGCUCAACCUGGGAACUGCAUUCGAAACUGGCAGGCUAGAGUCUUGUAGAGGGGGGUAGAAUGCCAGGUGUAGCGGUGAAAUGCGUAGAGAUCUGGAGGAAUACCGGUGGCGAAGGCGGCCCCCUGGACAAAGACUGACGCUCAGGUGCGAAAGCGUGGGGAGCAAACAGGAUUAGAUACCCUAGUAGUC